CUUCAGAUGUAAGCUGUGAACACACAUGUACACAAAACUGUGCAACAUUCGUCAUCAUAUUGUAUCAAUUUGUCGGAGUAUGGCGCUCAUAUUUGUGACAUUGUUUUGUUCGCUUUGGCAACCCUGCCAACCCUCGUAUAUAUAUCAGAUGCUGUUCGGCCUCAAAUGCGACUGAAUGAACACUGAUGGUGUUGCCUGGAAUAUGAAAUGAUAUUGACUGAUUGUUCUGUAUAUCAAGGUAGGUACUGUACAUUUAUACUGAAUUUAUUUUCACACGAGUUUCAAACUAUUUCAGCCUUUAAUAUAAUGAACAGUGCGAUCACAUCACUAACAUACAGCCAUACAGAAAGCAGAAAGAAUUUUCUCAUCAAUUCUGAUUAUCGUUUACAAGUAACAGUAUAAAUGCUUCAAAAUUUAUUUGUUUUCUACAGUAUGUAAUGCAGGGCAGCAUGCUUUCAUUUUGCUUUGGUGGUAGUCACCACUCACCAAGUCAAAUGGGCCAUUCCAUCUAUAAAUAGCCCCACUAUUCAGGUCUGGAUAUCCUAUAUGGGGAUUUUAGAGAGGGGGAUUUUACCUUAAAUUUUUCUGGAGGGUAGCUUAAGAGAUUUCCAAAAAAUUAGGUGUUUUAGUGAUACCCAAAGGGGCAGGAACAAUAUCCUAAAGGGGUAGAAAGAUAUCCAUGGGGGUUCCAAAAUUGCAUCCAAUGGGGUUCCAAAAUGUUUAAGUAUAAUAGUAUUAUGAAGAGACCCCUCAAUAGGGUGUGGGGGGCUAUAUUAAAUGGAAUUGCCCAGUGUGCUGCAACAACUUUUAAAAUUUGUAUAUAUGUUUUUAAGGCACAAUAUGUGAUGGAGUUUGAUAUAAUGAUCAGCACAACCUGGAUGUCUUGACUGAAUGAACAACUUAUGUGAUAUACUCCUAGUUCCAAUACUUUGCUGUAUAUUAUCACCAGCUCAGAUGUCAGUUGGAUCACUUUGAAUGAACAUUGGAGUGGCACAAUAAAGUGUGUGUAUUAGGGCGGAGUCUAUAAUUAAGGACUGAAGUAAAAGGCACACUUUUGGAUAUUAAUUUGAAUCAUAGCAACUACAUAUACUGUAGGUUUCAAAUAAGUUUGAACAAUGAACAACUGAAAAUAAAAAUUUAUUUGAUUUGAAACACUCAAAAGAAUUACAACAUAUUAUAUGAUAGUCAUAUGUACAUGAUUAUGGGUAUAUUCAUUAGGUUUAUUAGCUGAUAUUUAUGACCAUCCUGGGACAACAUUUUAUUUUUCCCAAGAGAUUUUACUUGCAUGGUAGUAAUAUAGUAACAGAGAAGUGUGAUGGAUAUGUGCAAGUAAUUAUCAUUAGAAAUACAAAUAUUAAACUGUAAUUUUCACCAUUGUAAAUGAUUGUAUUAUUAAAGAAACAAAAUACAAAAG
Molecule: non-coding RNA, 1414 nt
Organism: Paramuricea clavata
Lineage: Eukaryota; Metazoa; Cnidaria; Anthozoa; Malacalcyonacea; Plexauridae
Source: the annotation of a GenBank genome assembly